RNAcentral lists this ribosomal RNA (609 nucleotides) under uncultured bacterium. RNAcentral's name for it is "bacterial SSU rRNA". It matches the Rfam family "Bacterial small subunit ribosomal RNA", at positions 329 to 929 of the family's 1533-position model. The record is from RNAcentral.
UUCCAGACUCCCUACGGGAGGCAGCAGUAGGGAAUCUUCGGCAAUGGACGAAAGUCUGACCGAGCAACGCCGCGUGAGUGAAGAAGGUUUUCGGAUCGUAAAACUCUGUUGGUAGAGAAGAACGUUGGUGAGAGUGGAAAGCUCAUCAAGUGACGGUAACUACCCAGAAAGGGACGGCUAACUACGUGCCAGCGGCCGCGGUAAUACGUAGGUCCCGAGCGUUGUCCGGAUUUAUUGGGCGUAAAGCGAGCGCAGGUGGUUUAUUAAGUCUGGUGUAAAAGGCAGUGGCUCAACCAUUGUAUGCAUUGGAAACUGGUAGACUUGAGUGCAGGAGAGGAGAGUGGAAUUCCAUGUGUAGCGGUGAAAUGCGUAGAUAUAUGGAGGAACACCGGUGGCGAAAGCGGCCCUCUGGCCUGUAACUGACACUGAGGCUCGAAAGCGUGGGGAGCAAACAGGAUUAGAUACCCUGGUGGUCCACGCCGUAAACGAUGAGUGCUAGAUGUAGGGAGCUAUAAGUUCUCUGUAUCGCAGCUAACGCAAUAAGCACUCCGCCUGGGGAGUACGACCGCAAGGUUGAAACUCAAAGGAAUUGACGGGGGCCCGCACAAG